This 199-nucleotide ribosomal RNA is filed under the name uncultured bacterium. RNAcentral describes it as "partial 16S ribosomal RNA". It matches the Rfam family "Bacterial small subunit ribosomal RNA", at positions 328 to 539 of the family's 1533-position model. The record is from RNAcentral.
ACGCUCGACACCUACGUGAGGCAGCAGUCGGGAAUAUUGCGCAAUGGAGGGAACUCUGACGCAGUGACGCCGCGUAUAGGAAGAAGGUUUUCGGAUUGUAAACUAUUGUCGUUAGGGAAGAGAAAGGACAGUACCUAAGGAGGAAGCUCCGGCUAACUACGUGCCAGCAGCCGCGGUAAUCUGAGCGGGCUGGCAAGGC